GAUGAACGCUAGCGGCGUGCUUAACACAUGCAAGUCGAACGGGAAACCUUUUAUUGAAGCUUCGGCAGAUUUAGCUGGUUUCUAGUGGCGGACGGGUGAGUAACGCGUGGGUAACCUGCCUUAUACAGGGGGAUAACAGUCAGAAAUGGCUGCUAAUACCGCAUAAGCGCACAGAGCUGCAUGGCUCAGUGUGAAAAACUCCGGUGGUAUAAGAUGGACCCGCGUUGGAUUAGCUGGUUGGUGGGGUAACGGCCCACCAAGGCGACGAUCUAUAGCCGGCCUGAGAGGGUGAACGGCCACAUUGGGACUGAGACACGGCCCAGACUCCUACGGGAGGCAGCAGUGGGGAAUAUUGCACAAUGGGGGAAACCCUGAUGCAGCGACGCCGCGUGAAGGAAGAAGUAUCUCGGUAUGUAAACUUCUAUCAGCAGGGAAGAUAAUGACGGUACCUGACUAAGAAGCCCCGGCUAACUACGUG
Molecule: ribosomal RNA, 478 nt
Filed under: uncultured bacterium
Lineage: Bacteria
Description: partial 16S ribosomal RNA
Rfam family: Bacterial small subunit ribosomal RNA
Source: RNAcentral